AGGGAAAGAUAUAUAUAUAUAUAGGUAAAAAUAAAGAUAUAUAGGUAAUAAAUCUUGCCGUAAUUUAUUGUCUUUUUAAUGUAUAAUAAUAUCUCACCCUGAUGCAAAUAUGGUAACUACUCCGGUAGAAUCGAACACUGAUGUAUGCAUGGUAUAAUAAAUCUUGCCGUGGACGCAUCCAUAAUCAUGAGUAUCUCACGUAACACACACCUAUGCGUGAUCGGCAACGCUACUGAUUACAUGGAAUAUAUCUAUUUUAGGGCAGUGAGGGGUGUUUGUAUCUCAGAUAAUGCCAUAUGUAAACUGCCAAUCUCCAGAUCGUCAUGUAUGGGAUGCGUCAAUAUUUCCUUUUAGCAAGACUAGAGUGCCGCCUAUAUAUACUGCGGCCGGAGGGGUUCACGGUCAUUGCCUCUUAGGUUUACAGAGAAGAAUAGAUUUCCACGAUCGAGUUGAAGAUCAACCAUGAGAGGGAGCGGCCUUGUGUUCGUGAUCGCCCUCCUGUUCGUCGGGUGCCUUGCGAUCGGACAGUGUCGUCCUGUGGUUAGAGGAAGCAACCAAGAGAGUCGUGCCAAUAUUACCGCAAAUGCUACAACUAUUGCGGAUUCGUCGUCAUCAAGGGAGAGCUCGAGCAAACUGACGUUGAACUGGUGUUACCCAAGGGACUGCAACAAUCCUAACAAUCCGUUCUACACGAGACCGUGCUACUGCUGCCCCUUGCGACCGGACGAGCUGUGCUUUAGUAAUAUCGACGAUUGCCAUGCAGGGUGCCCGACUUGUCAUCCUACUUGCUGAUAUAUAGGCGUGUUCAUUGCUGUGACAUAAAGCUACUAGUUCGGUGUUAUUCGUUAGGUUGAUGGUAGUACACACUAGCUUUCCCACUACUAGUCUUUCUCUAUAUAUGUGCAACGCAAUAUAUAUAUGUAUGAUCGAGUUUAAAGAGAUGAACGAAGGAUAAUUCGCUAUAGUGUCCA
Molecule: long non-coding RNA, 971 nt
Organism: Triticum dicoccoides
Lineage: Eukaryota; Viridiplantae; Streptophyta; Magnoliopsida; Poales; Poaceae
Exons: 2
Source: RefSeq, a predicted model, not a curated record